This 468-nucleotide ribosomal RNA is filed under the name uncultured bacterium. RNAcentral's name for it is "partial 16S ribosomal RNA". It matches the Rfam family "Bacterial small subunit ribosomal RNA", at positions 28 to 507 of the family's 1533-position model. The record is from RNAcentral.
GACGAACGCUGGCGGCGUGCUUAACACAUGCCAGUCGAACGGAAAGGCCCUGCUUUUGUGGGGUGCUCGAGUGGCGAACGGGUGAGUAACACGUGAGUAACCUGCCCUUGACUUUGGGAUAACUUCAGGAAACUGGGGCUAAUACCGGAUAGGAGCUCCUGCUGCAUGGUGGGGGUUGGAAAGUUUCGGCGGUUGGGGAUGGACUCGCGGCUUAUCAGCUUGUUGGUGGGGUAGUGGCUUAUCAAGGCUUUGACGGGUAGCCGGCCUGAGAGGGUGACCGGCCACAUUGGGACUGAGAUACGGCCCAGACUCCUACGGGAGGCAGCAGUGGGGAAUAUUGCACAAUGGGCGGAAGCCUGAUGCAGCAACGCCGCGUGCGGGAUGACGGCCUUCGGGUUGUAAACCGCUUUCGCCUGUGACGAAGCGUGAGUGACGGUAAUGGGUAAAGAAGCACCGGCUAACUACGUG